RNAcentral lists this ribosomal RNA (404 nucleotides) under uncultured bacterium. Its description in RNAcentral is "bacterial SSU rRNA". It matches the Rfam family "Bacterial small subunit ribosomal RNA", at positions 356 to 773 of the family's 1533-position model. The record is from RNAcentral.
GGGGAAUAUUGCACAAUGGAGGAAACUCUGAUGCAGCAACGCCGCGUGAAGGAAGAAGGUUUUCGGAUCGUAAACUUCUAUCGAUAGGGAAGAAAGAAAUGACGGUACCUAAAUAAGAAGCCCCGGCUAACUACGUGCCAGCAGCCGCGGUAAUACGUAGGGGGCAAGCGUUAUCCGGAAUUACUGGGUGUAAAGGGAGCGUAGGCGGCAUGGUAAGUUAGAUGUGAAAGCCCGGGGCUUAACCCCGAGGAUUGCAUUUAAAACUAUCAAGCUAGAGUACAGGAGAGGAAAGCGGAAUUCCUAGUGUAGCGGUGAAAUGCGUAGAUAUUAGGAAGAACACCAGUGGCGAAGGCGGCUUUCUGGACUGAAACUGACGCUGAGGCUCGAAAGCGUGGGGAGCGAAC